UCCCACGACAUCACUCAUUCUUGUUAUAUAUCAAAACUCUGCACAUCAUGUUGGAUUUCUGUUGGAUUUGAUGGGUUUUGAAAACUUUAUACAAGGUCAGAAUUUCGGAGAUUUUUACGUACAUGAUCCAACAGUAAUUAAACUUCCAAACCGAUGACAUUGGAUGUACAUGCUGAUCUAAUAAAUGCAGAUAAUAUGUGAAACUAGUUGUACUAAGAAAGGUUAUUCUUCAAGAUGUCUAUUGUUCGAGAACAUUUCCUUGCUUAGAAGAAAUCUUCCAAGAAGUAAACCGACCA
Molecule: long non-coding RNA, 296 nt
Organism: Chrysoperla carnea
Lineage: Eukaryota; Metazoa; Arthropoda; Insecta; Neuroptera; Chrysopidae
Exons: 3
Source: RefSeq, a predicted model, not a curated record